RNAcentral lists this transfer RNA (63 nucleotides) under Cherax cartalacoolah. RNAcentral describes it as "tRNA-Phe". The record is from RNAcentral. Lineage: Eukaryota; Metazoa; Arthropoda; Malacostraca; Decapoda; Parastacidae.
ACUUAUAUAUUUUAAAUUAGAAUGUUGCAUUGAAGCUGCAACGGUGGCUAUAGCCUGUAAGUG